This 723-nucleotide ribosomal RNA is filed under the name uncultured Bacilli bacterium. Its description in RNAcentral is "bacterial SSU rRNA". It matches the Rfam family "Bacterial small subunit ribosomal RNA", at positions 28 to 736 of the family's 1533-position model. Lineage: Bacteria; Bacillati; Bacillota; Bacilli. The record is from RNAcentral.
GACGAACGCUGGCGGCGUGCCUAAUACAUGCAAGUAGAACGCUGAAGGAGGAGCUUGCUUCUCUGGAUGAGUUGCGAACGGGUGAGUAACGCGUAGGUAACCUGCCUGGUAGCGGGGGAUAACUAUUGGAAACGAUAGCUAAUACCGCAUAACAGUAGAUGUUGCAUGACAUUUGCUUAAAAGGUGCAAUUGCAUCACUACCAGAUGGACCUGCGUUGUAUUAGCUAGUUGGUGGGGUAACGGCUCACCAAGGCGACGAUACAUAGCCGACCUGAGAGGGUGAUCGGCCACACUGGGACCGAGACACGGCCCAGACUCCUACGGGAGGCAGCAGUAGGGAAUCUUCGGCAAUGGACGGAAGUCUGACCGAGCAACGCCGCGUGAGUGAAGAAGGUUUUCGGAUCGUAAAGCUCUGUUGUAAGAGAAGAACGAGUGUGAGAGUGGAAAGUUCACACUGUGACGGUAUCUUACCAGAAAGGGACGGCUAACUACGUGCCAGCAGCCGCGGUAAUACGUAGGUCCCGAGCGUUGUCCGGAUUUAUUGGGCGUAAAGCGAGCGCAGGCGGUUAGAUAAGUCUGAAGUUAAAGGCUGUGGCUUAACCAUAGUACGCUUUGGAAACUGUUUAACUUGAGUGCAAGAGGGGAGAGUGGAAUUCCAUGUGUAGCGGUGAAAUGCGUAGAUAUAUGGAGGAACACCGGUGGCGAAAGCGGCUCUCUGGCUUG